GACGAACGCUGGCGGCGUGCUUAACACAUGCAAGUCGAACGAAGUGUCGAACGGGUGAGUAACGCGUAAUCAACCUGCCCUUCAGCGGGGGACACCAGUUGGAAACGACUGCUAAUACCGCCUACUGAGGUAGGGGCUUGCGUCUGAUUAGGUAGUUGGCGGGGUAACGGCCCACAAAGGCGAUGAUCAGUAGCCGGUCUGAGAGGAUGAACGGCCACAUUGGGACUGAGACACGGCCCAGACUCCUACGGGAGGCAGCAGUGGGGAAUCUUCCGCAAUGGACGAAAGUCUGACGGAGCAACGCCGCGUGAGUGAUGACGGCCUUCGGGUUGUAAAGCUCUGUUAAUCGGGACGCGGUACCGGAAUAGAAAGCCACGGCUAACUACGUGCCAGCAGCCGCGGUAAUAC
This 408-nucleotide ribosomal RNA is filed under the name uncultured bacterium. RNAcentral describes it as "partial 16S ribosomal RNA". It matches the Rfam family "Bacterial small subunit ribosomal RNA", at positions 28 to 526 of the family's 1533-position model. The record is from RNAcentral.